Molecule: unclassified non-coding RNA, 1916 nt
Filed under: Hevea brasiliensis (rubber tree)
Lineage: Eukaryota; Viridiplantae; Streptophyta; Magnoliopsida; Malpighiales; Euphorbiaceae
Source: RNAcentral
AAACCUUUGAAAUAUUGUUUAUUAAUAAAAUAGUCCUUUGAUUAUUUUAAAAGUAAAUAUAUUUUACUUUAGGUCUCAUUGACUUUGCACCAAUUAUUAAAUAUGAAAAAUAGACCGGAUGGUGGUGGUGGAUCAGCACAAGUGACCACAUCAUUUCUCAAGACAUUCAUACUACUGCUCUAUCCUUUUCUAUUGGGAAGCCUUGUAACUAAAACAAUUUUCUUCAUAAAUGAACUGGGCUUUGCUCAUUCCCCAAGCAUUCAAUUUUGAGAUGGUUAUGCUCUGAGUUCCAUUGUUAAAUACAUACAGGUGAGCUUCUUUGUGAACUGCUAACUGAGGAUAAACUCUACUGCUAAUACAAGUUCUCCCUUCCCCACCAAAACUCUCAAUGAUUGAAUGGUCUAUCUGCAAUAGUUAAACAAACAUAUAUCAAAUGAAAAGGAAAAUGACAAUUGGAUUGAAAAUACUGAACUCACCAAGCUUCUUAAUGAAAUCUUUUCAUGCUGGGGAUCUAUAUUGACAAAAGCUCCAUAUGUGGUUUUAUCCACUUUUUCUUUUAGAGAAGACCUGCUUUGAUCACUGCACAUGAGUACUGUAUAUGCAUUGUGGCCUCUAAAAAUUCUAAAGAAUAUUGCAGUUUGCUCUGUCAAGUCCUCUGUUGCUAAAGCUAGCAAACCAAAUGGCCCCAAUCUACCUCUCACUGCUGCAUUUGCAUCAGUACACAUUUUUUGGGGAUCAACCCAGGUAGAGUUCAAUAACUCGGCCUCUUCUAAUUCUGGCAAUUCAAACAAAACCUCUACAUCUGCCUUUAAAGAUACCAAGAAGGAAGUAAUUAUGACAAUGCAAGCAGUUCAAUUUCCAAAUAACAACAGACAACAAAGAGAAGGAAGGAUAUAGCAUUCAAACAUAAUGGAACUUCUCUCUUUCAAACGGAAUUCAACCAUUCACCUGUGAAGCAGUUAUGUCUGGAAUUUCGAGUACUGAUCCACCAUCAAGUUUCUUAUGCUGGAUGCUGACUUGCUUGUCAUGUAGCUUAUUGAUUUCUUCCACUGGCCACAGCACUAAUUGGCUUCCACUUCUAUCAAGCCAUACUUGCCUAGGAAUUGACUGAAGUCCAGACCAUCCUUUGUUAAUAUCAUCUUCUGCACUGUCAGAUUCGUUUAUCCAGCCCCAUAAUAUCCUCCUAUCCUUGACACUAUCAAAGAAUGUCUUUGAAGCGUAAAACUUGCCAUAGUCAUACCUCAAGUCUGUGUUGCUACCUGUAAAAUCAGAGUCAGGAAUAUAUUUUUCCAUCCCAGGGACAUAAGUGCCUAUCAUGUAGUAGUCAUGCGAAUUGAAGCUGGCCUUCAUCACAUGCUUAACACCUGGAUUUAUGACUGAAGUGUCAACACCAUUUGUGCUGUUAACAGACACCGGAAAGAAGUCUGGACACUCCCACAUUCCAGUUUUUUCUUUUGAAUAAAGAGGAUCUUGAUACCUGCUCCAGUUAACAAAAUCUUCACUUUGAUACAGGAUUGCCAUUCCUUGAUCAUUAAUCGAGCUCCCAAUGAUCACAUUCCAUUUCCCAUCAGCACCCAGCCAAGCAGUUGUUGGAUCUCUAAAAUGGUCCCCUUCAAUACCAAUGGGAGGAGUUAUGACAGGAUUUUGUGAAAAUUUUAUCCAUUCUUUAAGUAAUGGGUCAGACAGAUUCUUGGGCAUUGCCAAAUUCUGAACCUGUGUAUUGUUGGCAUCAAUACCAGUGUAUAAAAUGACAGGUUUAUUCCCUGGAAGGAUUGUAACAGAACCAGACCAGCAACUUUUGAUGUCAAAUGGUUCUGUUGGGUGAAGGGCAUGAUUGAGAUGAACCCAGUUGAUGAGAUCAUAUGAUACAGAAUGUGCCCAUACCAUACCAUCACCAAAUAAAGCACUAUUUGGAU